GUGCUAGCUUUGGCAGUGCCUAUACUAAAAUUGGAAUGAUACAGAGAAGAUGAACAUGCUCCCUGUGUGAGGAUGACACACUAAUUUGUGAAGCAUUCUGUAUUUUU
Molecule: small nuclear RNA, 107 nt
Organism: Ochotona princeps (American pika)
Lineage: Eukaryota; Metazoa; Chordata; Mammalia; Lagomorpha; Ochotonidae
Source: Ensembl